UUAUGAUACAGUAUGUUAGGCUAGAGCAGUGGGUCUUUAAGUCUGUUCUCUGGACAAGUAGUAUCAAUUUCACCUGGGAAUUUAUAGAAAUGCUAAUUCUGGGGUUCCCCAGACCUUCUGAAACAGAGACUCUGGGAGCAGAGUUGUGUGAUUUGUGCUUCAACAAGCCUUCCAGGCAGUUCUGAUGUGCCCAUUAGGCUAGAGGGAGGCUCACAGAAUUUGCAGAGAGCAGAUCUGGAGACCUGAACCCAGAUGGGGCGAGCCGAGGGCAAGGUGGAGAGUAUGCCGCUGCCUAAAUUUUGCAAAGGAUCAGCAGAAAACUUGCUGCAUUGCCACCUGGAUAUGAUUAAGCACCACCCGUAGUAGCUUACUACUCAUCACCUUACCAGGCUGCAGGAUUCCACGGCACCCAGCAUGGAGUACGUGCAUAGUUCAAGACCCACAUCUGGAACGCUUAUUUACCAUAGGAAAGAUAAAACAUCUGAGUUUUUCAGAACUUCUUUUUCACUCUCUUUGGCAUAUUUAUGAAGAAUACUAGUAUAUUGAAGAAGAGAAGCAGGGAAGAAUAAAGAAGAAGAGGAAGGAGAGAAGAGGAAGAGGAAGAAGAAAAAGGAGAAGGAACGUUAAAACAAGAUUAUAAGACUUCUUUAAAUAAAUGAAAUGCCUAUAUUUAAUAAAUUACACUUUUAGGAUUGCAUAAAUAUAUUGCAAUAGAUUCAUGUUAUUAAAAAUAUAAGCACUUCCUCAUGCAUCCACCCUCGGUGUCCCAGAUGGGAUAAAUAAGUCAAAGUUGAAUAUUAAACAUGUUCCAUUU
Long non-coding RNA from Equus asinus (donkey), 814 nucleotides. Lineage: Eukaryota; Metazoa; Chordata; Mammalia; Perissodactyla; Equidae. The record is from Ensembl.